RNAcentral lists this ribosomal RNA (255 nucleotides) under uncultured bacterium. RNAcentral's name for it is "partial 16S ribosomal RNA". It matches the Rfam family "Bacterial small subunit ribosomal RNA", at positions 524 to 776 of the family's 1533-position model. The record is from RNAcentral.
UACGUAGGGUGCAAGCGUUGUCCGGAAUUAUUGGGCGUAAAGAGCUCGUAGGCGGUUUGUCGCGUCGGCUGUGAAAGCCCGGAGCUCAACUCCGGGUCUGCAGUCGAUACGGGCAGACUUGAGUGUUGCAGGGGAGACUGGAAUUCCUGGUGUAGCGGUGAAAUGCGCAGAGUAUCAGGAGGAACACCGGUGGCGAAGGCGGGUCUCUGGGCCGAUGACUGACGCUGAGGAGCGAAAGCGUGGGGAGCGAACAGG